AGCACGGAGCACGAGCGUCUGGCGUCUGCGGCCGCUCCCAGGGCUUCUGACCCUCGGGGACCGGUGCAGACCCAGAGCCUAGCUCUAUGGAGCCUUGAGCAGAGACCAGCACAGUUGAGAAAGCAGCAACACUGCUUCCUUUGUCAACCGCGUCCAUUCCGAGACAAAGAAUGCCUGGACUGUGAGAGAAUCCUACACAGAGAUGACGAUGGGAGAAGAGGGACCUUUUUUCUUGUUUCCAACACCCACAUCAAUAGGCCUCUUUUCCCAUUUUAAAGUGCCCGACAUAAAGAACGUUCCACUUUGGUCAGGUGGGCUGCAGAGAAUUAGAAUAUUCAUCUGCAAAACUCGGUUUGGACACCUUAUCGGCUUUUCAUUCCUCCAGAUACAGCCUGCCCCCUGGUGCCUGAGAUUUCCUCCUCAAACCACAUUAGAUAAACAAGAUUAUCUUUUCUCUAGAAUUUGAGUCAACAAAGAGAAUGUUCAGCAUUUUAAAGAAAGGUCUCAUUUUUUAAAAUUCAAC
Mustela erminea (ermine) is the source of this 523-nucleotide long non-coding RNA. RefSeq lists it as uncharacterized. The record is from RefSeq and is a predicted model, not a curated record. The transcript is spliced from 4 exons. NCBI's taxonomy places the organism in Eukaryota, Metazoa, Chordata, Mammalia, Carnivora, Mustelidae.